This 202-nucleotide ribosomal RNA is filed under the name uncultured bacterium. Its description in RNAcentral is "partial 16S ribosomal RNA". It matches the Rfam family "Bacterial small subunit ribosomal RNA", at positions 524 to 725 of the family's 1533-position model. The record is from RNAcentral.
UACGAAGGGGGCUAGCGUUGUUCGGAAUCACUGGGCGUAAAGCGCACGUAGGCGGAUCUUUAAGUCAGGGGUGAAAUCCCGAGGCUCAACCUCGAAACUGCCUUUGAUACUGGGGGAUCUCGAGUCCGGGAGAGGUGAGUGGAACUGCGAGUGUAGAGGUGAAAUUCGUAGAUAUUCGCAAGAACACCGUGGCGAAGGCGGU